AGACGAUGAAGAUGAGGAAUCAGACAAGUCCAAAUCUGAAGUUAAUAAUGAAGAUGAAGCAAGUGGAGAGGUAGUCUAAAUUCUUUCUUCUUUUGCUUACAUGAAUUUUGAGCAUCAUAAGAAAAACACUUUGAAUAGUAUGACAUUCGCUACCUCACAAAGGUGCUAUGGUUUCUCAGUCUCCAUGAUAGUUUUUCUUCCAAAAAGUUUAGAUAACAUGUUCCAAAAAAUUUCUUUGAUACAUUUUACAAUCUAUUUGCACUUUUUUUUUUCUCUCAUUCCCUGUUCCUCAUUUUACAAUUUGUUUGCACAUUUUUUUUAAUAAAAACCAUGAAAACAAAUCUUCCUUUUUGUGUUUUUUUACCAUUCUCCUCAUUGUAUAGGACGACCACCAAGAUGAUGAGGACGAAGAUGACGAGGAAGAGGAUGAUGACGAUGAAGAUGAUGAUUGAGAUUUGUGUGCAUAACUUGAAAUAUGAUGUUUCAUUGGUUGAGGGAAGCUUUUAUGUAUUUUGUAGUAGGGCUACUUUUGGAUAUCUUUGUUGGUUGAAUAUUUAU
RNAcentral lists this long non-coding RNA (558 nucleotides) under Trifolium pratense (red clover). Its description in RNAcentral is "long non-coding RNA (TPRA_LNC009047)". Lineage: Eukaryota; Viridiplantae; Streptophyta; Magnoliopsida; Fabales; Fabaceae. The record is from RNAcentral.